UACGGGGGGGGCAAGCGUUGUUCGGAAUUACUGGGCGUAAAGGGCUCGUAGGUGGCCAACUAAGUCAGACGUGAAAUCCCUCGGCUUAACCGGGGAACUGCAUCUGAUACUGGAUGGCUGGAGAUUGGGAGAGGGAUGCGGAAUUCCAGGUGUAGCGGUGAAAUGCGUAGAUAUCUGGAGGAACACCGGUGGCGAAGGCGGCAUCCUGGACCAACACUGACGCUGAGGAGCGAAAGCCAGGGGAGCAAACGGG
Molecule: ribosomal RNA, 253 nt
Filed under: uncultured bacterium
Lineage: Bacteria
Description: partial 16S ribosomal RNA
Rfam family: Bacterial small subunit ribosomal RNA
Source: RNAcentral